UACGUAGGGUGCGAGCGUUAAUCGGAAUUACUGGGCGUAAAGCGUGCGCAGGCGGUUCGUUAAGACAGAUGUGAAAUCCCCGGGCUUAACCUGGGAACUGCAUUUGUGACUGGCGAGCUAGAGUAUGGCAGAGGGGGGUAGAAUUCCACGUGUAGCAGUGAAAUGCGUAGAGAUGUGGAGGAACACCGAUGGCGAAGGCAGCCCCCUGGGCUGAGAUUGACGCUGAGUGCACGAAAGCGUGGGGAGCAAACAG
RNAcentral lists this ribosomal RNA (253 nucleotides) under uncultured bacterium. RNAcentral's name for it is "partial 16S ribosomal RNA". It matches the Rfam family "Bacterial small subunit ribosomal RNA", at positions 524 to 775 of the family's 1533-position model. The record is from RNAcentral.